Long non-coding RNA from Monodelphis domestica (gray short-tailed opossum), 607 nucleotides. NCBI's taxonomy places the organism in Eukaryota, Metazoa, Chordata, Mammalia, Didelphimorphia, Didelphidae. The record is from Ensembl.
CUCUUAUUGUUUGACACCUCUGAUCUUAUUAUGUAAUAGAAGAACUAUAAAGAUUUCCUGUCACAGAGGAAAGACAACUCUGGAGUAAGAAGGGAAUAUUUCAGACCAAGCAUAGCUUUGAGGUGGUCUUCUGAGCACACCUCACAGGAGAUACCCUAUCUCUCCUACACAUAUGACUGACCCUGCUAGAUACUAGGGGAAUUUACCCAGGCUGGUGGACCAUCUGUGACCUAGCUUUGAAUGCAGGAUGGACUGCUUCUAAUGAGGACCAGUAAAUUAUAAGUGUCAAGGCUUGAAUUCCAAGAUGACUUUAAAUUGAAAAGGUAACAUUUUAAAGAGUUGGAAGCUGGCACCCUGAGACAUUUCCUGAAAAAAAGCAUCCAGAAUGGUGAGGGGACUGAAGACCAUGGAUGAAAAGAUUAUUUGAAGAAAUUGGCGAUAUUUAUCUUGGAAUCAAGAAGAUGUAUGAGGAACAUGGAUCAAGGCCUGAUUUGUUUUUACCUACCUGGAGUCAGUGAAUAGAAGCGGAUUUUCAUGGUUAUUCAAAGAAGAGAAAAGAAACAUGGCCAAUUAAUGCAUGGUAGAAAUAAAUCUGGGGUAGGAGUCA